This 497-nucleotide ribosomal RNA is filed under the name uncultured bacterium. RNAcentral describes it as "partial 16S ribosomal RNA". It matches the Rfam family "Bacterial small subunit ribosomal RNA", at positions 28 to 507 of the family's 1533-position model. The record is from RNAcentral.
GAUGAACGCUGGCGGCGUGCCUAAUACAUGCAAGUCGAGCGAACGGACGAGAAGCUUGCUUCUCUGAUGUUAGCGGCGGACGGGUGAGUAAAACGUGGAUAACCUACCUAUAAGACUGGGAUAAAUUCGGGAAACCGGAGCUAAUACCGGAUAAUAUUUUGAACCGCAUGGUUCAAAAGUGAAAGACGGUCUUGCUGUCACUUAUAGAUGGAUCCGCGCUGCAUUAGUUAGUUGGUAAGGUAACGGCUUACCAAGGCAACGAUGCAUAGCCGACCUGAGAGGGUGAUCGGCCACACUGGAAUUGAGACACGGUCCAGACUCCUACGGGAGGCAGCAGUAGGGAAUCUUCCGCAAUGGGCGAAAGCCUGACGGAGCAACGCCGCGUGAGUGAUGAAGGUCUUCGGAUCGUAAAACUCUGUUAUUAGGGAAGAACAUAUGUGUAAGUAACUGUGCACAUCUUGACGGUACCUAAUCAGAAAGCCACGGCUAACUACGUG